Molecule: transfer RNA, 84 nt
Filed under: Postia placenta Mad-698-R
Lineage: Eukaryota; Fungi; Basidiomycota; Agaricomycetes; Polyporales; Adustoporiaceae
Rfam family: tRNA
About the family: Transfer RNA (tRNA) molecules are approximately 80 nucleotides in length.
Source: Rfam by way of RNAcentral
GGUUCAGUGGUGUAGUUGGUUAUCACAUCUGUCUCACACUUUGGGGCGCACAGGUGGUCCCCGGUUCGAACCCGGGCUGAAUCA